Molecule: ribosomal RNA, 253 nt
Filed under: uncultured bacterium
Lineage: Bacteria
Description: partial 16S ribosomal RNA
Rfam family: Bacterial small subunit ribosomal RNA
Source: RNAcentral
UACAGAGGAGCCAAGCGUUGUCCGGAUUGACUGGGCGUAAAGCGCACGCAGGCGGAGUGGCGCGUGGGGUGUGAAAGCUGGUGGCUUAACUGCCAGUCGCCAUCCCAUACAGCCACUCUGGAGCCUUGCAGAGGGCAGUGGAAUUGCCGGUGUAGUGGUGAAAUGCGCAGAUAUCAGGAGGAACACCGGUGGCGAAGGCGGUUCUCUGGGCAUUACCUGACGCUGAGGAGCGAAAGUGUGGGGAGCGAACAGG